GCGAAGGUGGCGGAAUUGGUAGACGCGCUAGCUUCAGGUGUUAGUGCUCUUACGGACGUGAGGGUUCAAGUCCCUCUCUUCGCACCA
This 87-nucleotide transfer RNA is filed under the name Serratia marcescens. RNAcentral describes it as "tRNA-Leu". It matches the Rfam family "tRNA". From Rfam's summary of the family: Transfer RNA (tRNA) molecules are approximately 80 nucleotides in length. Lineage: Bacteria; Pseudomonadati; Pseudomonadota; Gammaproteobacteria; Enterobacterales; Yersiniaceae. The record is from RNAcentral.